CUGGGUUUGGUUGAAGCCAGUCUGUCUGAAUUUUUACAGAUAGUAGUUCCCACCCAGAGGACAGCAAGCACAGUGAAUGUCUGAUGCCGCGGGACGGUGCUUCAACCUUGAAGAUGCCCUGAGAGUUCUGCAGCCCUAGGAGCAGACUGUGAAUCCUUACAGCCCCUCCCCCAUCACCACUCACCCUCCUGCUCCCAGGGCCAAGGGCGGCACAGCAAACAGGACAGAACAGAAUUGAACACAGUGGUUUUGGCGAGCAAGUCAGCAUGCAAACGGGAAUAAGAGCCCUGGGACUUUCCUAAGACAAACAAAGGAUUUAAAAGAAAUAACAAUAUUUAAUAGAACUCAAAACCCCCAAGUCCAGAUUAAGAAAACAACUUGCUACAAACAACGGAAGAUACUAAAAUUAGCUGUAUUUUUUAACUAGAAACUCUCUCAUCACAGCACCCAAAAAAAGGUACAUCAAGUUUAAGAAAUGUUUUAUGAUGGGAAUAGAAAUGUUCAGCUCCAGGAAGAAUAACUACUGAAUCCUCCACUGACUGGAGCUUCCCAAGUGUCACUAGUGGUAAAGAAUCCGCCUGCCAAUGAAGGAGACAUAAAGAGACCUGGGUUUGAUCUCUGGGUUGAAAAGAUCCCCCUGGAGGAGGGCAUGGCAACCCAUUCCAGUAUUCUUGCCUGGAGAAUCCCAUGGACAGAGGACCCUGUAGGGCAACAGUUCAUGGGAUGGCAAGCAGUUGAACAUGAAUGAAGCAACUCAGCUGAUCCACUCAGUGGCCUUCCCCAAAUCUUUGUUCAUUCCUGCUUCCCUAAGUGCCUGGUUUCCUGUCAAAUUGCUAUUGUCCCGAAGCCUUCAUGUUUCCUCUUGAUCAUAUUUCUUCCCCCAAGCCCUUUUUCAGCAAUGAGUUAAAGCUCCAGACAGUUGUCAAGUAUUCCUCUUGUGCAGGCCAAGCUUUCCAAGGAGUGACACCACAAAGUGAAGACACAAACGGAUGUGACGAGGCACUUGAUGUUGGACUUGGCACAGCCCUGGGCAGAGAAAUGGAGCUGCAGGGGAGGAUCCACACGCAGCCAGAUCCACAUUAUUCCCAGAAGAGUCAUUGGGAUAUAACUGCACGUGGCUCAAGUUCAGAGUCCUGGGUCAAAGCCCUUGGGAAAUCCUAUGGUCCAGAGUCUCUCACGCCAGCUGACACUGGCAUCAGUAAACAUUAUAGACCAAGGGUCAGAAAACUAUGGGCUCUAAGCCAAAUAGGACCCUUGCCUAUUUUUGUAUGACUGGCAAGCUUCGAGUCAUUUUUAAAUAUUUGAAAAAAAAAUUAAGUAAUAUUGUUGACAUUAAAAUGGUAUACAAUUAAAGUCUGUGUCUAAAAUUAAAGUUUUGCUGCAUACCAC
Long non-coding RNA from Bos taurus (domestic cattle), 1389 nucleotides. The record is from Ensembl. NCBI's taxonomy places the organism in Eukaryota, Metazoa, Chordata, Mammalia, Artiodactyla, Bovidae.